RNAcentral lists this transfer RNA (75 nucleotides) under Acidimicrobiales bacterium. RNAcentral describes it as "tRNA-Val". It matches the Rfam family "tRNA". Rfam says of the family: Transfer RNA (tRNA) molecules are approximately 80 nucleotides in length. Their secondary structure includes four short double-helical elements and three loops (D, anti-codon, and T loops). Lineage: Bacteria; Bacillati; Actinomycetota; Acidimicrobiia; Acidimicrobiales. The record is from RNAcentral. RNAcentral also lists the same sequence under 1 other name.
GGGCGCUUAGCUCAGUCUGGUCAGAGCACCUGCCUUACAAGCAGGGGGUCACAGGUUCGAGUCCUGUAGCGCCCA